AUUGAACGCUGGCGGCAGGCCUAACACAUGCAAGUCGAGCGCGAAAGGUUUUCGGACUGAGUAAAGCGGCGGACGGGUGAGUAAUGCAUGGGAAUCUGCCUGGUAGUGGGGGACAACGUUUCGAAAGAGACGCUAAUACCGCAUACGCCCUACGGGGAAAGGGGGGGAGUCUUCGGACCUCUCGCUAUCAGAUGAGCCCAUGUCAGAUUAGCUUGUUGGUGAGGUAAAGGCUCACCAAGGCGACGAUCUGUAACUGGUCUGAGAGGAUGAUCAGUCACACUGGAACUGAGACACGGUCCAGACUCCUACGGGAGGCAGCAGUGGGGGAAUAUUGGACAAUGGGGGAAACCCGUACGAUCCAGCAAUAGCCGCGUGAAU
RNAcentral lists this ribosomal RNA (378 nucleotides) under uncultured bacterium. RNAcentral's name for it is "bacterial SSU rRNA". It matches the Rfam family "Bacterial small subunit ribosomal RNA", at positions 30 to 406 of the family's 1533-position model. The record is from RNAcentral.